AGGAUUAACGCUGGCGGCGUGCCUGACACAUGCAAGUCGAACGAGGCCGCAAGGCCGAGUGGCGGACGGGUGAGUAACACGUGACCAACCAACCUCGAAGUUGGGAAUAGCUCUGCGAAAGUAGGGGUAAUACCGAAUGUGGCCCAGGGCAGGCAUCUGCCUUGGUCUAAAGAUUCAUCGCUUCGAGACGGGGUCGCGGCCUAUUAGCUUGUUGGUGGGGUAACGGCUCACCAAGGCGAUGAUGGGUAGCUGGUCUGAGAGGACGACCAGCCACACUGGGACUGAGACACGGCCCAGACUCCUACGGGAGGCAGCAGUGAGGAAUCUUCCGCAAUGGGCGAAAGCCUGACGGAGCAACGCCGCGUGUGGGAUGAAGGCUCUAGGGUUGUAAACCACUGUCGGAGGGGACGAUCGUGACGGUACCCUCCAAGAAAGCCCCGGCUAACUACGUGCCAGCAGCCGC
Molecule: ribosomal RNA, 463 nt
Filed under: uncultured bacterium
Lineage: Bacteria
Description: SSU rRNA
Rfam family: Bacterial small subunit ribosomal RNA
Source: RNAcentral